RNAcentral lists this long non-coding RNA (535 nucleotides) under Mus caroli (Ryukyu mouse). RNAcentral describes it as "predicted gene, 37359 (MGP_CAROLIEiJ_G0003375.1)". The record is from RNAcentral. Lineage: Eukaryota; Metazoa; Chordata; Mammalia; Rodentia; Muridae.
AGAGAGAGAAAUAGCUGGAGCCACCAUGCUGAGAGCAGUCCAUGCUGCUGAGAGGUGCCCAGGUGACUUCCUGUUCAAAUGGAUGCAAACCCAAGCACACUUUUGGAGUACUGUAAUGAAGAAGGAGCAGGGCUAUCCACAGGCACCCAGGGGCCAACUCCACAAAUGGUCCUAAUUCUACCUGGGACACACUGCACAUCUCAAAUAGAAUGGAUGGGAGAUGUGGCUCAGCAGAAGAGCUGGGAAGAGCACAGGGGACAAGAGUUCUGGGUUGCUCUCAGGCUCUCUCGCACAGCACAAUGCUGACAAGAAAGGACAACAUAUUUAAAGAAGAUGGCUGUCCUGGGUAUCAUGAGAUGAGCUAGCGGUGCUCACAGGGGGGCCUCGGAACUGAAGACAGGCUCCACAACUGGGACUUCCACCUGUGCCAACACUGAUUUUUUGGGUGGAUAUCCUAAUACCCUCAUUUUCUCUGCCUAGUUUUCUCUGCUGACUUUACCAAGUCUUCCCCUAAAUAAAUACUACAUCGCAGUUU